This 254-nucleotide ribosomal RNA is filed under the name uncultured bacterium. RNAcentral's name for it is "partial 16S ribosomal RNA". It matches the Rfam family "Bacterial small subunit ribosomal RNA", at positions 524 to 776 of the family's 1533-position model. The record is from RNAcentral.
UACGAAGGGGGCUAGCGUUGCUCGGAAUGACUGGGCGUAAAGGGCGCGUAGGCGGAUGGCACAGUCAGAUGUGAAAUUCCCGGGCUUAACCUGGGGGCUGCAUUUGAUACGUGUGAUCUAGAGUGAGGAAGAGGGUCGUGGAAUUCCCAGUGUAGAGGUGAAAUUCGUAGAUAUUGGGAAGAACACCGGUGGCGAAGGCGGCGACCUGGUCCUUGACUGACGCUGGAGGCGCGAAAGCGUGGGGAGCAAACAGG